Molecule: long non-coding RNA, 522 nt
Organism: Nicotiana attenuata
Lineage: Eukaryota; Viridiplantae; Streptophyta; Magnoliopsida; Solanales; Solanaceae
Exons: 3
Source: RefSeq, a predicted model, not a curated record
AUUUGCUCUUGCAUAUUGUAGGUGCUCCCUAGAUGGGUUGUCUACCAUGAGCUGGUCCUGACAACUAAGGAGUACAUGCGGCAGGCAACUGAACUGAAACCCGAAUGGCUUGUAGAAAUAGCUCCUCACUACUAUCAGUUGAAAGAUGUUGAAGACGCUAGCUCAAAGAAAAUGCCUCGCGGAAGUGGCCUUGCAUCUUAGGAUCAACUCCUAUUUUUGCAAAAGAAAAGAGCAUUGACAAGAGAGUGGUUUAUGCUAUGAAAAUCUGCUCAUUAUACUGCUAGGCAGGACUCUGCUAACUGAAGAGGUCCAUGGACAUUAACUGAGAUGAUUAGAUAACUGUAUAUAUGAUUUUGUAGAUUGAUUUUUGUAAAUUUACGGCUGUAAUUUUCUGUGCGUGCGUCUUUUUGAUGUAUUUGUUGUAUUAGGGAGCUCAACUGUCUGAUUAAUGAAUUGUGGCAUUAGUACUGUGUAUUGGUUAUGUAAUAUAUAAAUUGUGGUUAAUCCAUUUGUUUUAUACGA